AGGAUGGGUGUACCCCUUUGCAGUAUGCAGCUCAGGAAAACAAUGUAGAUGUUGUUCGUUUCCUGCUGGAGGAGGGUGCUGAUGUCAAUGCACAGGAUAAGGAUGGGUGGACCCCUUUGCACAUUGCAGCUGAGCAAAACAAUGAAGAUGUUGUUCGUUUCCUGCUGGAGAAGGGUGCUGAUGUCAAAGUACAGAAUAAGGACGGGAGGACGGCUUUGCGCGUCGCGUCAACAUUAAACCAUGCGCACGUUGUUUCUUUGCUGAAGGGUGAGGACGCCUGUAUACAGGAUAAG
Molecule: long non-coding RNA, 293 nt
Organism: Liolophura sinensis
Lineage: Eukaryota; Metazoa; Mollusca; Polyplacophora; Chitonida; Chitonidae
Exons: 3
Source: RefSeq, a predicted model, not a curated record